GAUGAAGAACGUAGCGAAAUGCGAUAAGUAGUGUGAAUUGCAGAAUUCAGUGAAUCAUCGAAUCUUUGAACGCACAUUGCGCCCUUUGGUAUUCCAAAGGGCAUGCCUGUUCGAGCGUCAUUUGUACCCUCAAGCUUUGCUUGGUGUUGGGCGUCUUGUCUCUCUCCCGAGACUCGCCUUAAAAUCAUUGGCAGCCGGCCUACUGGUUUCGGAGCGCAGCACUUUAUUUGCGCUCUUGUCCAGCCGCGGUCGCGCGUCCAUGAAGCUUCUUUCAAACUUUUGACCUCGGAUCAGGUAGGGAUACCCGCUGAACUUAAGCAUAUCAAUAAGCGGAGGA
RNAcentral lists this unclassified non-coding RNA (337 nucleotides) under soil metagenome. RNAcentral describes it as "partial contains 5.8S ribosomal RNA, internal transcribed spacer 2, and large subunit ribosomal RNA". The stretch from base 1 to 120 matches the Rfam family "5.8S ribosomal RNA", at positions 35 to 154 of the family's 154-position model. The record is from RNAcentral.